CAAGGUUAGCUCAACCAGUGAGCAUCUGACUCAUAAUCAGAGUGUCGGCGGUGCAAAUCCGUCAUCUUGCA
Molecule: transfer RNA, 71 nt
Filed under: Christensenellaceae bacterium
Lineage: Bacteria; Bacillati; Bacillota; Clostridia; Christensenellales; Christensenellaceae
Description: tRNA-Met
Rfam family: tRNA
About the family: Transfer RNA (tRNA) molecules are approximately 80 nucleotides in length.
Source: RNAcentral